Molecule: ribosomal RNA, 433 nt
Filed under: uncultured bacterium
Lineage: Bacteria
Description: partial 16S ribosomal RNA
Rfam family: Bacterial small subunit ribosomal RNA
Source: RNAcentral
AGCGAACGCUGGCGGCAGGCUUAACACAUGCAAGUCGAGCGGGCCAUUCGGGUUAAUCGCCGACGGGUGUGUUAAGUUUGGGAAUGGGUCUUGUGGGGGUGAAUAACCCUGGGGAAACUAGGCUUAUACCGGGUAAGGCCCUUUGGGGAAAGGUUUUACUACCGGAAGAUCGCCCCGCGUCUGAUUAGCUAGUUGGUGGGGUAACGGCCUACCAAGGCGACGAUCAGUAGCGGUUCUGAGAGGAUGAUCAGCCACACUGGGACUGAGACACGGCCCAGACUCCUACGGGAGGCAGCAGUGGGGAAUAUUGGACAAUGGGCGCAAGCCUGAUCCAGCCAUGCCGCGUGAGUGAUGAAGGCCUUAGGGUUGUAAAGCUCUUUUAUCCGGGACGAUAAUGACGGUACCGGAGGAAUAAGCCCCGGCUAACUUCGUG